This 252-nucleotide ribosomal RNA is filed under the name uncultured bacterium. Its description in RNAcentral is "partial 16S ribosomal RNA". It matches the Rfam family "Bacterial small subunit ribosomal RNA", at positions 524 to 777 of the family's 1533-position model. The record is from RNAcentral.
UACGAAGGGGGCUAGCGUUGCUCGGAAUUACUGGGCGUAAAGCGCACGUAGGCGGCUUUCUAAGUCGGGGUGAAUCCUGGAGCUCAACUCCAGAACUGCCUUCGAUACUGGAGAGCUCGAGUCCGGGAGAGGUGAGUGGAACUGCGAGUGUAGAGGUGAAAUUCGUAGAUAUUCGCAAGAACACCAGUGGCGAAGGCGGCUCACUGGCCCGGUACUGACGCUGAGGUGCGAAAGCGUGGGGAGCAAACAGGG